ACCGAUAGAAAAAGCACCGGCUAACUCCGUGCCAGCAGCCGCGGUAAUACGGAGGGUGCAAGCGUUAAUCGGAAUUACUGGGCGUAAAGCGUGCGUAGGCGGCUGCUUAAGUCAGAUGUGAAAGCCCCGGGCUUAACCUGGGAACGGCAUUUGAUACUGGGCAGCUCGAGUUGAGUAGAGGAGAGGGGAAUUUCCGGUGUAGCGGUGAAAUGCGUAGAGAUCGGAAGGAACACCAGUGGCGAAGGCGCCUCUCUGGACUCAAACUGACGCUGAGGUACGAAAGCGUGGGUAGCAAACAGGAUUAGAUACCCUGGUAGUCCACGCCGUAAACGAUGUCAACUAGCCGUUGGUCUUAUUCGUAAGAUUCGUGGCGCAGCUAACGCGAUAAGUUGACCGCCUGGGGAGUACGGCCGCAAGGUUAAAACUCAAAUGAAUUGACGGGGGCCCGCACAAGCNGUNGAGCAUGUGGUUUAAUUUCGAUGCAACUCGAAGAACCUUACCUACCCUUGA
Molecule: ribosomal RNA, 510 nt
Filed under: uncultured type I methanotroph R1
Lineage: Bacteria; Pseudomonadati; Pseudomonadota; Gammaproteobacteria; Methylococcales; Methylococcaceae
Description: bacterial SSU rRNA
Rfam family: Bacterial small subunit ribosomal RNA
Source: RNAcentral